This 50-nucleotide microRNA precursor is filed under the name Solanum tuberosum (potato). Its description in RNAcentral is "miR5303f stem-loop (stu-MIR5303f)". Lineage: Eukaryota; Viridiplantae; Streptophyta; Magnoliopsida; Solanales; Solanaceae. The record is from miRBase by way of RNAcentral.
ACGUUCGGAUUCUCCAAAAGUAAUGUAUUUUUGGAGAAUCUGACACGGGU